Bos taurus (domestic cattle) is the source of this 573-nucleotide long non-coding RNA. The record is from Ensembl. NCBI's taxonomy places the organism in Eukaryota, Metazoa, Chordata, Mammalia, Artiodactyla, Bovidae.
GAAAUGGCAUAAAGUGGAUAUAUUUUUGAUGCCUUUUAGCAUCUAACUAGUACAUUGACAAGUUGGAAAUUGGACAUGUAACACAGCCUAAGAAACAAGAAUUUAAUCAUUAUCAUUCAGUAGUUUAUGAAGACUAUUGGGUAUAAAAUACCAUGUUUCACUAACAGGAAAAUGAAUACGUAACAUUUGUUUACUUCACUGGAAAGUUCAAGUGAAUUAGGUUUUCCAGUAUUUGAUUCUACAAGGCAGAUGACAUCUUGGACCUCCAGCAAAAGUCUAGCUGAAAGGACUUACAUGGAAGGAACUCUUAGUCUAACAUGCUUGCCAAGUCACCUUGCAAGAGAGGCUAAAUUUUGAUCUUUGCAAAUACAGAAGAAAGUAGAGCAAAGCUGCUGAAGCCUACACACCCUGGAGCCUGGGCUCCGCACCGAGAGAAGCCACCAUAAUGAGAAGCCUGCGCACCACUGCUAGAGAGGAGCCCCAGCUCGCCGCAGCUAGGGAAAAGGGCCUUGUGGCAGCGAAGACGGCACACAGCCAAAAAUUAAAUAAAUAAAUAAAAUGAUUAAAAACCAU